CACGUAGUUAGCCGUGGCUUUCUUGAAUGGUACAGUCAAUCUCUAAUCAUUUCCUAUUAGAGCCGUUCUUCCCAAACAACAGAACUUUACAAUCCAGAGGACCGUCAUCGUUCACGCGGCAUUGCUCGUUCAGGGUUUCCCCCAUUGACGAAUAUUCCUAACUGCUGUCUCCCGUAGGAGUCUGGGCCGUGUCUCAGCCCCAGUGUGGCCGAUCAACCUCUCAGUUCAGCUAUGCAUCGUUGACUUGGUAGGCUCUUACCCCACCAACUAUCUAAUGCACCGCAGGCCCAUCUCUUAGCGAAUCGUUUAAAGGUCUUUACCUUUAAUCCGUAGAUCACUAUUCGGUAUUAACGAAUUCGUUUACCAAUUGGUACUCCCAUCGAAGAGGUACGUAACCA
Molecule: ribosomal RNA, 398 nt
Filed under: uncultured bacterium
Lineage: Bacteria
Description: partial 16S ribosomal RNA
Source: RNAcentral